Molecule: long non-coding RNA, 37800 nt
Filed under: Capsicum annuum
Lineage: Eukaryota; Viridiplantae; Streptophyta; Magnoliopsida; Solanales; Solanaceae
Description: long non-coding RNA (CANN_LNC012358)
Source: RNAcentral
GCUGAUGAACCAUGAGUGUAGGUGGAAUUGUGUUCCUGCGAUGAUAAAUAAGGAGAGGACACGAGCUGUAAUUUGUGUUUGUGGGUAUCUGCGUUGGUAUAUUUGUAGGGAGGGCUGGUGGUGUGAGCUGUUGGGCAGUAGGGUGAGAGGAUUUUGGGAGCCUUGGAAUUGUAGAAGAUGAGGGUGAUAGAAAUUUACCUGGGAAAGGAGAAGCUGCAUCCACCGUUGGUUCACUGUCGGAGUUGGAUUGUGAGCGUGAGUUGGCCUGUAACUUUGCUGGAGAAGGAGAAGAUACUGAGCGAGGCUCUACAGGUGUUUGGGCAUCUAUUUCUAAUGGAAUUGGAAGCUCCGUAGUUAUGGUUAGUUUGGGUGUGGGAUCAGAAGAAUAUGAAAUCGUGAUAUUAUCCCAUUUUAGGUGAGGUGAUUUGAUGGCAAUAUUGGAGAACAUGGUUUUGAAAGUAAAAACAUUCUCAAUAAAUUGCACAUCGCGAGAUAAAUAUACCUUUGCGGAAAUUGGGUCAAAACACUGGUGACAGUGAUAAGAUAAGGAAAAUUUGAGAUAGACACCGGGUGGAUUUUGGUUCAAGUUUAUUUUGGAGUAUGGUUUAAGCCAUGGAUAGCAUAAACAGUCGAAAAUUCGCAGGGAGCUAUAAUUAGGCAAUUUUCCAAGUAGACGCUGGAAUGGGGAUUGGUUUUCUAGUUGAGAGGUGGGCAAACGGUUAAUAAGGUAGACCGUGUGAUGACACGCGAAAGACCAAAAUUGGGGAGGAAGGGAAGCCUCAUGUAAGAGCGUUCUUGCAGUUUCGACAAUAUGGCGAUGUCGUCGUUCUGCGAGCGAGCUCGUUGAGGCGUAUAUGGUGGAGUAGAGAGGUGCUCAAUUCCGUGAAGUGAGAGAUAAGGGUCAAGACUUUUAUAUUCUCCUCCACCAUCAGUGUACAGUGAUAAAAUUUUGGUGUCAAAAUGCUUUUCCAUCAUAAGAUGGAAUUUUUGGAAAAUCUCUUUGACCUCACUUUUAUUUUUUAAUGUAUAGAGCCAAGUAUAUUUCGUAUAUUAAUCAACAAAAAAACAAUAAUGCAAUUUCUUGUCAAGAGAUAAGACUGGUGAUGGCCCCCAUAUACUAAAGAUUAUUUGAAGCGGUUUAGAGCUACACAAUGAUAAUUGAGUAAAAGGAUGCCGAUGAACUUUAUUAGAUAAGCAAGAAUUACAAUAAAAAGGUUUGUCUCGCUCAUGAAACGGUAGCGAGAAUUUAUUUAAAACAAACCUAAGAACUCUAAAGUGGGGAUGACUCAAACGUUGAUACCAAGUAGUGAGAGGAGUAGAUGUGGCGGUCAUGUGAGCUUGGGGAUGUGAAAUAGGCCACUCAUACAGUCCAUUGUUGGUCCGACUGUGCACCAGCGGUUUCCACGUUUUCAUAUCCUUCACAACAAAGUCAAAGGGAAAAAAUUCAAUGGACUUUGAAUUGUCUUGACAAAAUUUUGAAACAGAGAGAAGUUUGCGUAUAAUAGAUGGGGCACAGAGAGUGUGAGGUAGCUUAAAAACAUUAUUUUAUGCAUUUAAUUGAGUAGAACCAGUGCGAGAGAUGGGAAUUUUGUUACCGUAACCCAUGGAGACAUCUUCGUUAUCGUGGUAUGGUUGUAGAUUGUGUGGCUCCGUGGUGAUGUGAUAGGUGGCUCCGGAGUCGACUAUCCAAAGGUUAGUGGCAGCAGUAAAUCCAGCAGCAUAGUUGGCUUUGGCCUCAAAGUGAUUAUGAGACUUCGAACGACAAACAUUGGCGGUAUGGCCAAUCCUAUUGCAUAGUUGACAUCGAGUAACAGUCUUUGGAUUGGAGUUGGACUGCCAUUGUGAUGUAGUGUUCGGAUGUGAAUUCUGGUGCCACUGGUGAGAAUUAUUAUUUUGCCUAGGAUUGUUACGGUUAUUGGUAUUGGAUUUGGUGGGAGUCGAGACCGCGACAGUCAUGGGACUGGAAAUUUUCUUAACAUCCUCGUGACGUAGGAAGAGUUCAUGGUCAAGUAGCUUUUCAAACAAUUCUUCAUAUGAGAUAGCCGUAUCACGUGCACGAAUGGCAGCAGAGAUUUCACGGAAUUCAGGACCUAGCUCGCUGAGUAUUUUGAUAAUGAGUUAAGGAUUUGACACAGGAGAACCAACAGUGGCUAACUCAUUCGAAAGGGAUCGAAUAGUGUGAAGAUAUUUAGUGAUAGAGAGAGAUUCCUUAGUGACGCGAGCAAGUUGAUCACGCAGGCUGAAGAUAUGCGUUUGUUAUCUGUUUGCACAAGUAGUGUGCAGAGCGUCCCAAGCUGAUUUGGAUGAGUUGGCUGCAACAACAAUCGGAGCAAUGGUGGGUUCAACAGAUGCCAUGAGGGCAUUUUGGAUGAGUUGGUCUUGACGGAACCAAGUUAAAAAAGCAGGAUUGGGAGAUACGUUGUUGCCAAUGGUCAGGGUGCGAGUAGGGGCAAGAGUGGUCCCAUCAAGAUGGCCAAAUAGAUUAUAACCAUACAUAAGCAUGGAGAAUUGAGCUUUCUAGGUGGCAAAGUUGUGGCCAUCGCUGAGUUUGAUGGGUAAUUGGGAUGGGACGCAGGGUUGAAUUGAAUAAUAAUGUUAGCACCUGUUGUGUUAUCAGCAUUAACAACUCUGGGAUUGUUGGCCAUUGCUAUUGAUUUGUGUGAGGAAGAAAAAAAAAUAGGAUCGUUCUCGUUAGAGAGUAUAGAGCUUUGAUACCAUGUAAACGCAGAGUAAGUGCUGAUAGAAAAAGAUGUUUUAUUAAUGAAGCAUAAAGCGUAUUAAAUAGAGUUACAGAUAAACUAAGAUGAGUCCUAAACUAACUAAGCUAGACUAGUCCUAAAUAAAUAGAAAUGCUGACUAAUAUUACACGUGAUGUUUCAAUAGUUUCUACACGGAUUGCCCAUAUUUCAUUUUGGUGUGUUUUGAGAUUUGAAGUUUCUACACGGAUUGCCCAUAUUUUCAUGAUGGUUUAUAAUUUUCACACUCAAAUAUGGUCUUUAAGUUUUGCUCUUGCUACUCUUUUAAUGAAAUUUUUUGGAUCAAAGCACCAUAUUUAUGAUCUAAUUUUGUUCGCCAUAACUUCUGUAGGAAUUAAACUGUGCGACAUAAAUUGUGUAGUAUUUUUAUGACUUAGUUUUGCUAGCACAAAUAUCGAGAAAUAUAGAGAACUAUCGCACAAGUUAGGUAGGAGUUGAGUUGUGUCUUCUACGACCUACUUUGUAGGUAUUGGGUUCUGAAAUUGAAGUUUUGCUUCCAUCAGCGUUAAGUUUUGUAGGAACUAAGAUAUGCUUUUCACGGUACGUGGGUUUUGAACUGAGCUUCUGUUGCUAUUGAUACAAGUUUUUUGAGAGUUAAGUGGCAUAACUCGUCUUAUACUAUGAUAAGAAAGUAAAACUUUUUGCCCAACGAAAGUGGUCUUAUACUAUGAUAAGAAAGUAUAAAUUUUUGCCUAGCGAAAGUAGUUUGCAAUUGUAGUUUCGAGUGUCUUUGGCCACUUAUUUUUUCUUUAAAGUAUUGAAGGUUAAAAAUUAAUAAUCCACCAGUAGGGGCGGAUUCAGUGGUUCUUUCCCUGCAUGUUUCAAGUAUUUGAAAGGAAAAGGAAAAGGGUAAAAUUUCUAAAUAUGUUAUUUAUUAAGUUAAAUUUAUCCUCGUCAUAUUUUGAGGUCAAAUUUCCCUCUCUACUUCGGAGAAUUGGACAAAUAUACCUUCGUCAUACUUUGGGGCUAAACUUACCCUCGAUAUCAUACUUUAAGGUCAAACUUAUCCUCGUUAAGAAAAAUUUUCACAUGUACCCUUUUUUUAAUAGAAAAGCUCAAAUCAACAUUAAAUAUUUCAUUUUAAAAAAAUAGAACAUCUAACUUGCCCGAUUCGACUUGAACCACAAAAAAAGACAAACAAAUAUACCCUCUUCAAAUUUGUUGAUCAAAUUUUUUUAAUGAGAGCCACUGAAUAUUUAUCAGUGCAUAGAUCAUAAAAAAUAGAUCUGCAUUAGUGCAAACAUAAACAAAUGUACCCCUCCCUUAGUUCAUAGACCUGGAUCAAUGCAGAAUUCAUGAAAAAUGGCACUUAGUGGUCAAAUGUAACAAAUUAUAUCCAUUGAUAUUUCUCUGGAUGAUUGAGUCAAGAUGUCUCCGUAUGUGUCAAUUGUGACAUCUCUCAAUUUUUAUUAUUUAUAUAUAAUUUGAAUCUACACAAAUUUUUUCAUUAUGUCAUUUGCUCAGAAAAGUUAUCCACUGAUUCUAGAAUCUAUAUGCACAUAGAAUUGCAUAUCAUAUUUUUGAAAUUUAUACAUAGCUAGAACAUCGACAGAGUUUGUAACAGACAUUUUCUCUAGUUUCAUACUUUUGCGUUAUCCCAUUCCAUUUUAAUUUUUGUUCAUUUAUAAAUAACCUACUCGUGCGGCACAUUGAAAGAGAAGUAUAUUUGUUCAUACAAAAAAUUUGACCAAAAAUCUGAGAGAGUUAUAUUUAUUUGUGUAUUUUUUGAGAGUCGGAUUGAGUGGGUUAGAUUAGGGUGUGUUUUAUUUUUAAAAAAUGAGUUAUUUAAUGCCGAUUUAAAUUUUUCUAUUAAAAGAAGGGUACAUAUGAAAAGUUUCUUACAAUGAGAAAAAUUUGACCCCAAAGUAUGACAUCAAGAGUAAAUUUGGCCCCAAAGUAUGACGAAGUGUAUAUUUAGUCAAUUUUUCAAAGUAGAAGGGUAAAUUUAGCUUCAAAGAAUGACAACGAGGAUAAAUUUGAUCACAAAGUAUGAUAAAAGAUAUAUUUAAUCAAUUUUUCAAAGUAGAGGGAUAAAUUUGACCCUUUACCCAAAGAAAAAACUAAGGGGUAGACUUCCUUUUUGAGUGACUUUGUUUUUGUCACUCGUAAAAAAUGUUUUAUAAAAGUAGUCAUUUUUCUCAUGUGUAGAACAAAUAUCUAUUUAUCCUUCUAUACAUUAAAUAUUUUUGAAUAACUCUUCAUGCUCAUUUAUCUUUUAGCUUCUAUUUUUAUUUUUAUUUUUUUCUUUUUAAUUUUUUUUUCUCGACCUUUACUUUUUUUUUUCUUUCCUUUUCCCCUUUCCUCCUAUCCACUUCAUUUUUUAUUUUUUUUCUCUUUUUUUUUUCUUCUUUUUAGUUGUCUCAACUUUUAUUUUUUGUUCUGUCCUUUUUUUUUUCAACCUUUAUUGUUUUCUCCUUUCAACUUUUUCUUAAUGUUCUUUGAUUUUUAUUUUUAAUUUUUUUAAAAAAUAUCAACCUUUAUUUUUAUUUUAUUUUUAUUUUUUCUUCUUUUUUUUUUCUUUUUUUCCAACCUUUAUACCUUUCCUUUCUUUUCUUUUCUUUUUUUUAGUUCCUUUCAAGUAACAAGGUAUGCCCAUGAGCAAGAGUUAGCACUAUCACAUUGUGUCUUGAUUUAUGAGAUGUUUUAUAACUCUUGUUCGUAGAGGCAAGAGUUAGUCUAAGGACUUUCAAAGAACAAGUUACGCCCAUGAGAAAGAGUUGACCCUACUGCAUUGUGUUUUGAUUUAUAAGAUGUUUUAUAACUCUUUUCUUAGAGGCAAGACUUAGCCACAUUGUGUCUUGAUUUAUGAGAUGCUUUGUAUAACUCUUGCUUUAGAGACAAACUUAGCCCAAGAACUUUCAAACAACAAGUUACGCCCCACGAACAAAAGUUCACAUUACCACAUUGUAUCUUGAUUUAUGAGAUGUUCUAUAACUCUUGUUUCUAGAGGCAACACUUUGCCUAAGGACUUUCAAACAACAAGUUAUGUCUCAUGAGAAAGAGUUGACACUACCAAAUUAUGUUUGAUGUUCCAUAGCUCUUGCCUUAGAGGUAAGACUUAGCGCAAGGACUUUCAAAUAACAAGUUACGCCUCAUGGACAAGAGUUCACACUACCACAUUUUUUCGUGAUUUAUAAGAUGUUUUACAAUACUUUCGUUAGAGGCAUGACUUAGCCCAAGGAAUUUCAAACAACAAGCUACGCCCCUGGGCAAGAGUUGACACUAUUGCGGCUUCAUUUAUGAGAUGUUCUAUACCAAGAACUUUCAAACAAUAAAUUGUGUCUCAUAAGAAAGAGUUAACACUACCACCACAUUGUAUUUUGAUUUAUGAAAUGUUCUAUAACUCUUUUCUUAGAGACAAGACUUAGUCCAAGGACUUUCAAAUAACAAGUUACACUCUGUCGGCAAGAGUUACUCUACCACAUUGCAUCUUGAUUUAUGAGAUGUUCUAUAGCUCUUGCAUUAGAGGAAAGACUUAGUUCAAGGACUUUCAAACAAUAAGACACCCCAUGAGCAAAAUGUCAUGACUCAAUUUACGAGUUAUGAUGGCACUAACUAUACCUCACCAGUAUGUAAGCCAAACUGUAACCCAGAGUUAAGCCAAACUGUAACCCAGAGUUAUACAGAAUGGGUUAACUUGGUGAAAAUGCCCAUCAUAAGUGGAAAUUUACAAUGCAAUCAUAAAGUAAUAAGGCAUUCCAAAUAGAUGUAAGACAGCCAAUACAAGAUAUCAUCCCAAAACUUGGUUGAGCCAGUACAAGAGUAUCUAAGUGAUAAUAAUAAUACAACUCAAAAUAUCCAAAAGGUCUGCUACAUCUAUCUCAAUACAAAAGACUUAAUGAAAAGAUAGAGAAAAAUAGGUGACUCCGAUUUCAAGAGCACACCCUAUCUCUCGAAAGUCAAAACAGCUCGAACAACGGUCAACGACGAUAUCUAGUACUCGAAUCAGCACCAAAAGGUACAAAAGUGUAGUAUGAGCAUUUGGUGCUCAGUAGGCAUCAUCGGCUGACUAAGCUAAAUCAUGAUAGAAAGAUGACACGAUGCAGGAUAACAUAACUAAGUCAAGGUACAGAAUCAAACUUGAAUUAACUCCAUCAUCACUAUGCAUAAAGAGUACAUAAAUCGUAAUAAUAACGAUAACAUGUUGUAAAGAUUCAAGCACAUGCAAUCAUAAGUACAAAAUUGGCUCCCAUACGCCAAUUGGUGCAGAAAAAUAAAGAACUCGUAACAGCCUCCCAUACAACUGGAGAGUACAAUCAAGAUAGUAAUAUCCAAACAUUCAUCAUUUACAACUACUCAUAAUCAUUAUUUAACCAUCUUUUCCACAAUUUACCAUCAUUUGACACUAUAUCAUCACUUAACAACUUAUCCCAUUUCAACACUUACCAACAAUUCCCCAAAGUUUCACCAUUUAACAAUUAGUCAUCUAUUAUCAUCAACAUGAUCUAUUUACUAGUCAUCACUAAUCAAUUAAGCACUCUUUUCAAUUAGUCAACAUUUCAUACUAUGCAUCUUUUAUUAACUAAUCAUCAUAAUCCAAUUAAUUUCAUAUCAUAGAAUACAUAUUUAUAUAUCUGGACUUGAAUCGGUAAUUUAGUCAAUCGUCGGACUCAAAUCAAUAAUUGCAUCAUAAAUGUCAUAAUCAUUUUUCGAACUCGAAUGUGGUUUAUGUAAUCAAUAUCAUCAUCAUCCUCCGAACUCAAACCAAAUAUAUAUAACCAAUAUCAUCAUCAUCUUUUGAACUUGAACCGAGUAUAUAUAAUCAAUAUCUUAAUCAUCUUUCAAACUCAAACUAGGAAUAUCUAGUCAAUAAUAUAUUCAUCUUUCGAACUCAAAUAAAAAAUAUAUAAUCAAUCUCAUAAUCAUCUUUCGGACUCGAACCGAAUAUAUAGAUAUAUAUAUAAUCAAUAACAUAGUGGUCUUUCAGACUUGAAUCGAGAAUAUAUAAUCAUCAUUAGCAUGUACACACAAGCAAGCCAUAAUAUGAUCUAAAGCAUGGUAAUUAACAUGGGCAAAAGGAAAUGGUCUAUACCCCGACCUAUUAUAGCCAACAAGUGCCACCAUUCAUCAAUACUACUUUAAAAGGCAUCCUUAAGCGCUUAAUGAGCCUAUGAAGGUUUUCCAAUAGCUAAGCCAAUCUUUACUUAUGGUGAGUUAAUCAACCCACUUUUAAUCCCCAAUUCUUGUUUUAAGGCAAUUUCUACCCCAAGACUAGGCUAAGGUAUCUAAAUCCACUUUUAGAUGUAUAACAAGCCACAACUAGCCCUAAAGUAGAGGUUAUUCCCAAUUAUAUCACUAAGUUAAAUUGGAAACUAAGGCAACCUCUUCUAAUGUGAGAACUAAGGCCAAGUCUCUUCAAACAAGAGCAACUAUGUCAAAUAUGCCUACUUUGAGGCAUUGUCAUGCUAAACAUAAGGAAUGAAGGCUAAUUCAACAAAAAACUAAGUGUUUCAAGCUUACGGUAUCAAAAUAGCCAAGAAGGCUCAACUAACCCCAAAUAUUGCAUUUCAACAACCAACACCUAAAAACCAUCCUAAAUCCAACACAAUAUUAUAAAUAUACUAUGAAACAACUCAAUCUAUCAAGGGUUAAACCUAGCCUACCUCGACGUCGAAGAAAGCUCAACGAUUUCACUAAACCUUCACUUUUCCCUUCCGAGAAGCCUCUUCAAGAUGCCAAGCUAUCAAAAUCACAUUCUACUCAUCAAUAUAAGAAUGACAAUAAACAUAUUUCACCAUUGUGCUUCGGGACCAAAAAUCACAUCAAAACCCCAUGUUGGUCCCACUUACAGAAAUCACAUUUUUGAGACCAAUCCAACAUUCAUAUAUACACCCAAGCUAAAAUGGGGCUAAAAUCAAGUUCUAAAUCCUUUGGGAUUUUGGUUAAUAAAUCAUCAAAAAUCCACCAAGAAAGUAUGAAAUCUUACCUCAAAUCAGAAGAUAAUCGCGAAAAUAGAUGUUACUCAAGCUCCCAAGUCACUCCCAAGACUCAAUUUUAAGAUACCACACCCUUUAGGGUUUUUGAUCUUCAGAAAUGAGUGAAAAAUGAGCAAAUUUGCAACAUUGGGGUUUAUUUAUACCCCCUUCUAGGUUCUCAAAUAUUGCAAUCGCAAUAUGCAGGUGUGAAAUCACACUAUAUGGCAUUAGGAACAGGUGUUGUGAUCACAACAACCCUUAGUGCGAUCGCACUAUCAAAUCUACACACUGAGAUGUGAUAUCCAUCCAAGGUGGUGCGAUCGCGGCAGCAUCAGCUUGCUGAUGCACCAGAUUUUGCAAGUCCAAAAAUAGUCCAGACCGAGGGCUUAAGAUUCAUUUAGAAUUUUGCAUACGCAAAUGAACUAUGUAACCACACCAAAUUCAAUGUUUCGAAUGCGAUAGAGAAGUUGGAUUUUUCAUUUGAGGUCAUUUCGACCAAAAUAUGGGUCCCACACUGAUAUUUUCUAUUUCUCUAACUUUCAACCAAUAGGUCAAAAUGAGCUCGGGUGCCUCGAGCCCCAAACCAAAGGUCCACCUAGCCUAAAAUCGAUAUUCCAAAGCUAUUAGCAGAGUUGAAAUUUGCAUAUGAGAUCAUUUUUAUUGAAGUUCUCGCCCAAUGGUCAUUUGGAACCAGCGAAGGCUUCUAAACAGAGAAUUGGCUCUAAAAAUCAAAUGAACUGCCUAAUAAUCGAAAUGUCAGCUCUAAAAAGUCACAAAUGACUUGGAGAAGCUAUGUAAAGGCUUUAACGGUGAAAAUAUAAGGGAAUAUGGAAAAUGACCUGAAGGGUCAUUACAAUAUCAACUACUAAAAGAACUUUCAUCCACGAAAGUUAAGGACUAGGAUAUACCUAAAGUCUCGAAUAAGUGAGGGUACUAGGUCCAUAUAUCACUUUAGAUCUCCCAAGUCGCCUCCUCCACUGGACUGUUGAUAAGCCAUCAUUUGACGACUUUCUAGUACUUUUUAAGCCUAAAUUAUCAUGCUUUUUUCAUUGAUUUCCGUUGAUUUGAUAUUUAUCUUAUACUUAAUGCUCAUUUGAGUAGGAAAAGUUGAAAAGGGAAUAUGAGCAAGUCGUUCAAGUCAAAAGGAGGUCAAAUGUAAAAGUAAAGGGCCAUUUGCAUUGCAUCCGCUUUCCACCUGCUUUCCACCUACUCUCCAUUUGCUUAAACAGAUCAGGUGUAAGGUGGCAUUUUUAUAAUAUUAUGCAAAUGUAGAAUUGGGGCUUAAAUAAGGGAUUUUAUCUCUUUUUCACCAUUUUUUAUCUUACAUAUCUCCUAUCUAUAGUUUAGGGUCUUGUAAUUUUCUUGGAGCUUGGUACCUAAAUUUGUUCUAAUUUGAGCUAAGACUUGAUUAAAGGAACUCCAAAGAGUGGAUUUGGCAUCUUCUAUUGAAGAUUCAUUGGAUCUUAAAUUGUGGUUUGCGUUAUCUUUAUUUUUAAUAAAUAGCUUUGAUGGAAGUUUUGGUUUAUUUGUGUUUAUUAUGUGUAUGAUUUGCCAAAUCUACCUCUUGGGGUUAUGUUUGAAUAGGGUGUAAGUGUGUAUGGGUAGUGAUAUAUUUGUGUAUAUUCUAGUGUUUUGAUGAUGACUUCCACUAUUGCUUGAAUAACUUGGUUGGGAUUUUUGGGUGAAAGCCCCAAAUACCCAAAUGGGUUUGAUGGGUGAAAAUCCCAAACUCUUAAAAUCUCAAAUCAUCCUUGAAAGUGGGGUUUGGGUGAAUUUUAGGAACCUACAUCAUCUUUGAAAGAAGAAUGUUGGAACCAAGGUAAUAGUAGACAAUUAAUGGCAUAAUUGGCUAAUUUUUGCUAUCUUAGAAAUAAGGGCAGUUAUGAGGUUGACUAUACCUUGGGUACCAUCCUAGAAAUAGGGGUGCUAAUUGAGGUUUUGGGUGGUUUUAAUUGCCAUGCUCGUCAGGUACUUGAAAGGGUCAAUGAGUGACAUCUUUGAGUUUUUGUUGAAAAACUAACCCCAAAGACUUUAAACCUUACCUACCACAUCAUCUAUUAGAAUUUGCACUAAAUCAUCAUGUUCUCAUGCAUAGGUUGCACCUAGGAAAACAUAACCCCAAGAUUCGUUUGUAAUUGUUUACGCUCUAAUUAUUCUUAGUCUCGAAUUAGCCCCUUAGAAGCCCAAGAAUUGUUUAUAUGUUAAAAGCUAUUUCAAAAUCCAAAAAUCAUUUUGUACCAUAGGUUUGAAUCUAGUUAGUAGCUUUAAUUUUGAACCUACUCAAUCGCCACUCACAUUAUUCUCCGUGGAUUCGACCCCGACUCUUUGGUUGGGUAAACAUAUUGACAACGACCGCCUUGCACCGAAAUUGAUGUGUAAGUUGCGCAUUAUGAAAAAUAGCGCCGUUGUCGGAGAACAAUUUGGUGUAUUGAGUUAGUUUGAAAUUUUAGUUUACUUGCUUUAAUUCAAAUUUGUAAAUAUUUAUUUGUGAUUUUAUUUUGCUUCUUGUGUAAAUUAGAUUUUUUUGAUUUCUUGUUUACUUGUUACUAUGGCAUCUCGGGACUACUAUGAUUUUGGUGGUUGGAAAUGCUAUCUUGAUGGUCCAUGUACAUUGUAAUGGAUCCCACUUUUGGCAAGAUUGUAGAUAUGCUCCUCGAAGAGAGAUGUGUGCACUAUCUUGAUCUUAUAGGGAGUAUGGUUGUUCUCUAUGUGGUGGUCGAGAUGGACAUUAUAGUGAUUGUCCAAAUGCCCCUACCCCCGUUAUGCUAACCCAAUUGCUAGUUCUUCUUAUGAUUUUGAUAGGUCUUAUGGUCAAGAAAAGGAAGAACGAAGCACCGAAAAGAGUGGCAUUGAAGCCAUGAUUCAACUAAUCUUGGAUCGUUUGGAAUCAACGGGAGAUAACAUACGUGAUAUGCAUCAAGACAUGGGGGAAUGUAACGAGGAAAGAAAGAGGAUAGAAGAGAUGGAUAUGGAGGUCAAUAAUUCAAACACCAUAACCAUGCCUACUCUUCUAAAUGAGCUUGAUGUCGAGGAACCCAUGGUAAUUUCCCAACCAACCGAAUCAACCAUGAGGGAUGAUACCAAGAUUGAGGAAAUAGUGCUAGAGUCAAAAGAAGAAACCAAGCAAAUCUCUUAUAAAGACUCUAUCUCAAUUUAGGGUGAAGAUGUUGAGAAGGAUAAAACUCCAAAAUUAGGGAGAAAACCUCACUCGAACCACUUUUCAACAUUAUGCUUGGCGGAUGUGAUGAAAGUCGAACCACCCAAGCAAAUGAUAAAUUUUGGAGAUGAGGAGUAAAAUCCCUACAUUUUGGAGUUUGUCAUUCCAAAAGAAAAAAAUGAAGCCCCUCACUUGAAGGCCAAUAAAUGCAAAAUUCGGUGUGUAACAAGUGAAUUUUUAAUGCACUCACCAAUACCCAAUGAGACUAUUUGGAAGUUUGAUGUGAAGUUGGGUAAAAGGUUUAAAUCUUUAAAGUGGCGAGAUAGAAAAUAUUUCAUUGUGUCCUCACCUUUGUCCAAAAUGCCUCAAAUAUGUAUUGAUCUAAAGUUGGACCGCCGUUUCAAGUCUUUCAAAUGGAGACAUUAAUUUUAUAAGUAAAAGAUGUCAUGUCACGACUUUAACUAAAAAGCUUCUUGGGAGGUAACCCAAGAAUUUUUUCUUGAUGUUUUCUAAUGUUUUUAAUUUAUUUUUAGCUUGUUUUUGGGUGUUCGUAGGUGAUAGCACAAGUGAAAUGGGUACUUCAAGAAUGAAAAACCGGAUAAGUAUAUUGGACUUUCGUUUAUCACUUUCUUUCUUUAGUAAGCUUACCAGGUAUGAUCUUUAAAAUGUGAAUGAAGACUACAUUUCAUGGUUUCUUUUGGUUUGAAUUUAAUCCAUUUGAGCUUAAUUUGGUAGAAUGUGGUUGUUGGGAUGAAGAUUUUUGAAUGAGUGUCUUGUGCUAAAUUGUAAAAUUCUUGCUUUUAUACACUAGUGCACAUCACGUAUUUCAUGAAACACCCACUUGAGGUUUAUUUGCUUAAUUGAGUGGUAGGUGAUUCAAUUUGGUUAGUGUGAUUACAAGUGGUGUAUUUGGUGAUGAAUUGAUGUAUUGGGCUUGUUCACAUGUGGUGUUAUUCUAUCUAUUCAAGCUCUUAUAUUUUAUGCACACUACAUGUAGUGUUAUUCUAUCUAUUCAAGCUCUUAUAUUUUAUGCACACUACAUGUUUGUUAAAAUAUCAAUAAGAGAGAAAUGCUUUAUAUGCUUAUAAAGGUUAAUGUGAACUUUCUUGGGGCAUUGUGUGAUCAUUUUGGGAGCAUGACUUUGAGUCCAAUUGAUUUUGAAUGUGGAAUAUCCUAUGGUCUUUGAUUAAAAUUAUUGAGGAAUGUUGUGCCCAUGGUAAGAGAGAUAUGAAUGCUUAUCUUGUCCUAUGAUAGAUUGGGUGACUCCAUUCUUAAGGGUAUAGAGUCGUUUGUGUUUCUAUUAGUGUUAUGAGUAUUUUAGGAUCUAAAUGGGUGAUAUGUGAAGUUGUGAGAAAAGAAUCCCAUGAAGUGUAAUGAUAAUGUUGCCUUGCAUUCACCCAAAUUUUUAUUUAAUUGUUUAGGAAGAAGCAAAAGUUCAAAAAUACUUUCAAAAUGUAAUUGACAAGAAAUAAAAUGAUUUUGAAAAAAUAAAUAAAAAAUAUAGUUUUCUUUUUGAAAAAAGAAGAUCAAGGAUUUUUGUGAGCAUUCUUUUAAGUGAGUCCAUUAAAUUCAAUUUUUGGCUCUCUUUUUACAAGGACGAGUCCUCGACUUGGAGUAACUUAUUAAGCUCAAAAAGCUCAAAUUGGUUGGGUGACUAACUUUUUGCUCUAUAAGAAUGAUGCCAUGUGUGGUGAGAUUUUUGUAUAAUUCUUGUACCUAUGUGUAGUCUAGAACUUGCCCCUAGUGUGUUCAAAGUGAAAACCUAGACAAGCUUGGUUUGGAGAAUGACCCAAGGCCAUUUUCACCCGUCACAUAGCCAAAUUCCCACCUUAGUAUUUUUUCCUAGUUAACCCCUUCGGGCCUUUUUACCUAUUUUUCUUUCUUUGUCUAAUGAUAACUUUGCUAAAACACUUUAGCCCUUUUUAAAAUCUUUCUUUUGGAACUUAACCUCCUUUGAUGCAUUGCAUGAUUCUAAGAAAUGAAAUAUAGGCAAAAGCCUAAGUUUGGAGGAAUGGAUGUGAUGUGCUAAGAUGAGCCAAGAAAGGUGUAUGUAAGGUUGUCAACUCAUGUUCUUAAAAGACAAGAGAUGUUCUUAAUAAUAAAGUUAAAUAGCCUAGCCCAUAGAACUUGAAAAGAAAUUGGAUGAAUGAAGGGUGAAUAAGGGCUUAAAGUUAGAAAGUCUCUUGAAAAAGCCAAAAAAGUGAAAAAAAAAAAGAAAAUGGAAGCUUUGAAUUGUUUUGUAAAUGAAAAAAAAAGAAAAGGGAAAUAUGGAAAAUGAUUUGAAGAAGAAUAAGGUGAGAGUUUGAAAAUUUUAGGGAUAGAAAGGGUUGAAAAAUUGCAUUGAAGGAGGUAUUUUAGUCACUCGAUCCAUAGAUAUUCCUUCCCACACCUUAAACCUUCAUCUUGACCCGCAAUACCUUGGUGAUUUCAAACUAGUUAAGUCUAAAUUAGUGGCGAAAAACACAAAGGAAAAGCCUAUGGUUCUACUCAUUGUACUUGAAUUUCUUUGCGAGAGUGAGUAUGAAUUCUUUCAUUAUUUGGGCACCUCUAGAAAUUUUCAUGUACUUUGUGUGUGUGGAGCUAACUCUUGCUUGUGAGCGGCAUCAAUACUUUGGGUAGAGGGUGAAGUAUUACUCUCGGUUUGGGUAAAUGGGUGAAGUAUGUUGCAUUGUGAAGAUUGAGACAAUUUUUGAAAAUUGUAUGUUUCCUCUUAAGAUGCUUUGUUGAUUUGGAAGGUUUAUUUGAUACAAACUUGCAUCUUUUCUUUAUAAAUAUGUGCUUAUUAAAAAAAAUGGUUUACUUGUUGCCAUGACAUGUUUAGAAAGUAUUUGAAGAGCUUUGGUAGCUUAUUCCUUUACUAUGGCUUUCCUUUGGAUGGAUUUGAGUUAAAUACCUUAUCUCUUUGAAUUGUUCUUGAUUACUGGAGGACAAACAAUAGUUUAAGUUUAGGGGUGUUGAUAAUCCGUUAUUUGACAACUUUCUAGUACCUUUUAAGCCUAAAUUAUCAUGCUUUUUUCAUUGAUUUCCGUUGAUUUGAUAGUUAUCUCAUACUUAAUGCUCAUUUAUGUAGGAAAAUUUGAAAAGGGAAGAUGAGCAAGUCUUUCAAGUCAAAAGGAGGUCAAAUGUGAAAGUAAAGGGCCAUCUGUGUUGCAUCUGCUUUCCACCUGCUCUCCAUAUGCUUAAGUAGAUCAAGAGCAAGGUGGCAUUUUUGUAAUAUUGGGCAAAUGUAGAAUUGAAGCUUAAAUAGGGGAUUUUAGCUUAUUUUCACCAUCUUUUAUCCAUCUUUUGUCUUACAUAUCUCCUAUCUAUAGUUUUUUCUUGGAGCUUGGUGGCUAAAUUUGUACUAAUUUGAGCUAAAACUUAAGUAGAGAAAUUCCAAAGAGUGGAUUUGGCAUCUUCCAUUGAAGAUUCAUUGAAGCUUAAAGUGUGGUUUGCCUUAUCUUUAUUUUUAAAGAAUAACUUCGAUGGAAGUUUUGGUUUAUUUGUGUUUAUUAUGUGUAUGAUUUGCUAAAUCUACCUCUUGGGGUUAUGUUUGAAUAGGGUGCACGUGUGUAUGGAUAGUGUUAUAUUUGUGUAUAUUCUAGUGUUUUGAUGAUGAGUUCCACUAUUUCUUCAAUAACUUGGUUGGGAUUUUUGGGUGAAAGCCCCAAAUACCCAAAUGGGUUUGAUGGGUGAAAAUCCCAAACUCUUGAAAUCUCAAACUAUUCUUAAAAGCGGGAUUUGAGUGAAUUUUAGGAACCUACAUUAUCUUUGAAAGAGGAAUGUUGGAACCAAGGUAAUAGUAGACAAUUAAUGACAUAAUUGGCUAAUUUUUGCUAUCUUAGAAAUAAGGGCAGUUAUGAGGUUGACUAUACCUUGGGUACCAUCCUAGAAAUAGGGGUGCUAAUUGAGGUUUUGGGUGGUUUUAAUUGCCACACUCGUUAGGUACUCGAAAGGGUCAAUGAGUGACAUCUUUGAGUUUUUGUUAAAAAACUAUCCCCAAAUACUUUAAACCUAGCCUACCGCAUCAUCUAUUAUAAUUUGCACUAAAUUAUCAUGUUCUCAUACAUAGGUUGCCCCUAGGAAAACAUAACCCCAAGAUCCAUUUGUAAUUGUUUACUCUCUAAUUAUUCUUAGUCUCGAAUUAGUCCCUUAGAAGCCCAAGAAUUGUUUAUAUGUUAAAAGCUAUUUCAAAACCCCUAAAUCAUUUUGUACCUUAAGGUUUAAUCUAAUUAGUAGCUUUCAUAUCGAAACUACUCAAUCGCCACUCACAUUAUUCUCCGUGGAUUCGACCCCAACUCUUGGUUGGGUAAAUAUAUUGACAAUGACCGCCUUGCACAUAAAUUGAUGUGCAAGUUGAGCAUUAUUAGUGGUGACUUUACUGAACCUUAACUGCAUGAAUCUCUCUAGAGUGCAAUUGCCUGACAUCGCUAGCCUAAAUGAGCACCUGCUCCUCUACAAAGGUCAAACAUUCAUCCAACUAGACUGAGCCCCAUUUAAGCACAUGAGAAGGAUCUGGAAUAUAUCGCCGCAACAUAGACAAAUAAAAAUUGGAUGAACACUGACAAAAUCUAGAGGUAGAGCUAACUCAUAAGCCACCCCACCAACUGUACAGAGAAUUUCAAAAGGUCCAAUUUAUCUCGGACUAAGUUUAUCCUUCUUCCUGAACCUCAUUACACCCUUUAUGGGCAAUAUAUGAAGGAAUACAUGAUCACUAACCCUAAAUCUCAAGGGACGAAUCCUACAGUCUGCAUAGGCUUUCUACCUACUUUGAGCUGCUCUCCACCAAUCUUGAAUUACCCUAACUCUAUCCAGUGACUCCUGAAGCAAAUCUGUCUCAUGGGGUUUAACCUCAGAACUCUCAAACCAUCCAUCCAAAGAACGACAUCUCCUAUCAUACAAAACCUCAAAAGGUGCCAUCUCACUACUAUAAUGAUAGCUGUUAUUAAACGCGAACUCUGCUAAGGCGAAAUGCUGCUUCCACUGGCCUCCGAAAUCCAUAACAUAGGCUCGGAGCAUAUCGUCAAGAAUUUGAAUAGUCUGCUUCGACUGACCAUCUGUCUAUGGUUGAAAAGUUAAACUGAGAUCUACUUGAGUACCUAAAUUCUCCUGAAAGGCUUUCUAAAAUCUAGAAGUGAACACAAAACCUCGAUUUGAAAUAAUAGAAAUGGGCAUACCAUAUAGAUGGACUAUCUUCUGAACAUAGAUAUAGGCCAACCUCUCCGCACUGAAGGACAUCUAAAUAGGAAUGAAAUUAGUUGACUUGGUCAAACAAUCUACAAUAAUUCAAAGACCAUCAGAACCAUGAGAAGUACAAGACAAACCACUAAUAAAAUAUAUGGUAAUCCGUUCACUUCCACUUGAGAAUGGGCAACCUCUAAGUCAAUCCACCUAGUCGUUGAUGCUCAGCCUUUACCUACUAACAACAUAGGCAAUGAGAUACAAAAUCUUCCACAUCUAUAUUCAUAACACUCCACCAAUAAUGCUAUCUCAAAUCUCUAUACAUCUUAGUCGUGUCGGGAUGAAUGGAAUAUCUAAAACUGUGAGCCUUAUGCAAAAUAAACUGAAUCAAAUCAUCAAUCUAUGAAACACAAAUAUGGCUGUCAAAUCUCAAAACACCCUCAGAAUCUAUAGUGACCCUCUAAAAAUCACCACUCAAUAACUGAUCACGAAGGAAGCAAAUCUUGCUAUCCUUAAACUGACGAUCUCAAAUUUGCUCAAAUAAUGAGGACCUCACCUACACACUAACCAAAAUCCUCCCAGGAUCUAAAAUAUCAAGGUGAACCAUCAAGCUGGCUAAGGACUGAAUUUCAUGCGCCAACAAUCUUUGAGAGACUGAAAUACAAGCCAAUCUACCCAUGAUCAGUUCCUUUCGACUCAAGGCAUCUGUUACCACAUUCGCUUUGCCUAUAUGAUAUAAAAUUAAAAUAUCAUAAUCUUUAAGUAGCUUUAUCCAUCUACGAUAAUGAGCAUUAAGUUCCCUCUGGGUUAUAAGAUGCUGAAGACUACGAUGAUCGGUGAAAAUCUUAUAACACACACCAUAAAGAUAAUACCUCCUCUUAAGCGCAAAAACUAUUGCUGCCAACUCCAAAUCAUGAGUGGGGUAGUUGCGCUCGUGCACCUUAAGCUACCUAAAAGCAUAGGUAAUAACAUGACCUUGUUGCAUUAAUACGUAACCCAAACCAACACCAGAAACAUCACAAAACACGGUAAAUCCCUCACCCUCAAUAGAAAGAGAGAGAAUAAGAGUUGAAGAAGAAAACCUUUGAGAUUUUCAAAGCUCAACUCACACUCCUCGGAUAAUUAGAAAGGAACCUCUUUCUGAGUCAAUCUGGUUAGAGAGGCUGAAAUAGUAGCAAAACCCUCAAUGAACCGUCUAUAAUAAUUGACCAAACCAAUGAAGCUACAAACAUUAGUCAGAGAUGUAGGCCUAGCCCUAUCAUGAAUCGCCUCAAUCUUAGAUGGGUCUACCAUAAUCCCAGUCUUAGACACCACAUGUCCAAGAAAUAUCACCAACUCAAGCCAAAACUCACACUUAGAGAACUUGGCAAAAAGCACAUGAUCUCUAAAAGUUUGGAGCACAAUCCUUAAAUGCUGCACAUGCUCCUCACUACUCCUCAAUAUCGAUGAACACAAUUAUAAAAGAAUCCAAAUAUGGUAUGAACACACAGUUCAUCAAAUCUAUGAAUGCAGCUAGGGCAUUAACCAAGCCAAAAGACAUCACUAAGAAUUCACAGUGACCAUAAUGGAUUCUGAAAGAUAUCUUAGGGAUAUCCUCAACCGAAUCAUUAACUGAUGGUAACUAGAUCUUAAAUCAAUCUUAGAAAACACUGCAACUCCCUGAAGUUGAUCAAACAAAUUAUCAAUGUAAGGCAUAGGAUAAUGGUUCUUCACCGUUACCAUAUUAAACUUCCUAUAAUAAAUACACAUAUGCAUGGAACCAUUUUUCUUCUUCAUAAAUAAAACAGGAGCUCCCCACAGCGACGCACUCAAUCUAAUAAGACCCUUACCAAGAAGAUUUUAAACUUGAGAAUUCAACUUCUUAAGUAUGACAGGAGCAAUAUGGUAAGGUACCAUAGAAAUAGGUUAGGCACCAAGCUCGAGAGCAAUAGCAAACUCAAUCUCACGGAUAAGGAGAAUACCAGGCAGAUUGGUAGGGAACACAUCAAAAAACUCACAAACAAGAAGAACAGAGUCAAAUAAUGGACUCUCCACACAAUUAUCACAAAUAUAAGCAAGAUAAGACUCGCAACCCCUUAAAAUAAGCCUCCUAACAUGAACAUAAGAAAUAAUCCCAGUUGGCUCAUGACUAACUGCUCCAUGCCGUACGACUGAGGGUAUAUUAGGCAUGACAAAGGUAACGGUCUUAUCAAAAUAGUCUAUAACUGCAUGAUAGUGGGAUAAGUAGUUCACGCCUAGAAUCAUAUCAAAAUCCACCAUAUCCAGAAUAAUAAGAUCAACAUAGUAUCAAUAUCACUAAUUUUCAUAAUACAUAAUCUGAAUACUCGAUCCACUUCUAAAAAAUACCUACGAGAGUUGAUUCGUGCAGUGGCACGGAUAAUGAAUCAUAAGAUAAUUCCAAUCGUGGUGUAUAAUAAUCAGAUAUAUAAGAAUAAGUGGAUCUCAGAUCAAAUAAAUCAAGGGUUGACUGGCGGUACAUCAAAAUCAUACCUAUGAUAAUAGCAUCCAAAGUCUCAGCCUCGGUCCUAGCAGGUAUUGCAUAGUACUGACCACGCUCAUCACCUGGCUGGGCACCUAACCGAUUUCCCAUCUUGCCUGCUUGAGAACUUCUUCGAGCACCAGAGGAACUACCAUUACAAGCAUGAGAACUACCUCUGUACGAAGGAUAAAUUGCUCUAAUAGGGAAUACAUACUGAGUUGAAAAAAACUCGUUCUACGAUUAGGCAUUCACAUGAAUAGUGACCAAGAGAUCUACAACUAUAACAUGCCCCUUGAGCUAAAACGAAAUCAAUCGAUCCGACUGACCAAGAGUAACCACUAUGACUAAAAUAACUAGAGGGCACACCUCUCGAAGACUGACCACUACCUUAAUGAUAACGCUCAACUCACUCCUAUAAUUGAGGGGUGAUACGGUCGUUAUCAAGUAAUCUAAUUUGAAUUGGGGUAGAAUCUCAAGGAGAAAAUUAUAGACUUCAACCCCUAUGGGUGUUUAAAUUACUAUGAGGUUACCCGAAAUGCUAACAAAAAUAACAUGUGAAAUAAAAUGGGGGGUGGGGUUUUGUUUGGAAACUUUUUGUAAUAUCUUUAGCAAAUGAUCAAGAGAUGACACUUUUAUUUUAAGAAACAAUGUUGGGGGAAAUCUUGAGAUUAUGCCUACUUAAAGGUAAAAGUAUGUGGGUUAAUGAUGGUUUAGCAUGAAGUUUAGUUGUUAACUAAAGUAUAGGCUAGGUCGAAGGUCAUUGUGGUUAAUCUUUUGAUAAAACCACAAUGAUUUCACCCGUUGGCUCUUUCGAGCACCUAACAAGUGUGAAAUUCGUAAUCACCCAAAACCUCAAUCAAGAAUACCUAUUUCUAGGAUGAUGCUCCUGACAUGAUUUACACUCCUAAUACACUUAUUUCUAAGAUUGAAAAAUGGAGCAAACCAUAAGCUUAAUUAUCCACCAUUGCCUUGUCCUCCUAUAAUCCUCUUUCUAGGAUGUUAUGGGUUACCUCAUAUUCACCUGCAUCCCUCUUUCAAGGAUGAUAAAGGGUUUCUAAAAGUUUGGAGUUUUCACCCAUUAAAUCCAUUUGGAGAUUUAGGGCUUUCACCUAUCAAAUUCCAAAUCAUAAGCUCAAGCAAUGGUGAAAUCUUACUCAACAGCUAACAAUCAUGCAAACACAACAAUACCCACACAUAAAUUACACUCUAGUUCAAUAUAAUCCCAAGAGUAACUUACUUAGCUACUCAUGAAGAAAGUAAAGAGAGAUAUAUCAUAAGGAUUAUCCAAAGCAUUCAUUCUUCGUAAAAAUGCUAAGAAAUCAAGCCUCCAAAAUUAGUUACACACUUGCCCAGUUAGGGUUUCAAGCUUUCAAUUCAAAAUAUCUUAUGAGGUAAGCAAUAUUCCAAGAAGAAAGGGUUUUUCCCUAAAUAUGGUUUGAAAUUCGUCUCUGUAAUUUUACAAAUCUGCCCCUGGGCUUAAUCCCGCUGAACUACAUCGUGCCGGUUUGACUGCAAUCACAGCUUCACAACCGUAAUUUACUGACUUUUGCUUGACUGCCAUGAUUGCGGUCAGCAGACCGCGAUCGUGGUACCUGAGGCCCUUUUCUCCAAGUAUUCAACUAGAUUUUCUUGCUUUCUUUUGAUCAUUUUAAGCUCUUUUCCAUAUUUUUUUAUUUCAUCAACUCCAUGCCUUCAAAAAGGGGAUAUUAAUGCAUUUAAUUACAAUUAUGUAUUAUUUUAUUCAUUUAAAAUAGGGUAAUAUGCAUGAGUGAUUAGUGUGAAUGAGUGGUAAAAUCACCGCUCAUCACCUGACCAGGGCAAUCACUCGCACUAGACUGAUCCCUAUUCGUAAUCUGAAGAGUUUCCUAAACCGGUCAACUGGUCUAAACUUGAGACUGAUAAUAAAGGCAUGGAGAAUCUCUACCAUGAGAGCUACCACCUCUGAACCAAAAACUACUAUGGCUUCCACUAAAUCUGCCUUGAAGCCUAGGCCUCUUGUCAUAGCCCUUACGACUCUCCGAUGUAUCUCCUCCAUCACCUGAGCAUGAGUCGAUACCUCAACAAAAGACCCAUCCACAAUAAGUAAAAUUUGAGUAGAUAUACAGAUGGGAAGUCUCAACCCUCUGACAAAGAAGCAAACUCUCUUAUACUUAAAAAUCAAAAUGGAAGUGGCAUGCCUAGCUAACUCAUGAAAAUAAGCCUUAUACUUAUCAAUUGUCAUGGAGUCCUACUCCAGUCUCAUGCACUAAUCCCUCAAACCAUCACUGAGAUACGAGGCAUGUACUUCUCUAAGAACAUCUCAAAGAAUUGAGCCCAAGAUAAAUAAGAAGAUCCAGCUAGCCUAGAGUCCAUGAAACCUUUUCAUUAAUGAAGAGAAGACAAAUCCAACUAAAAUAUGGUGUAAUCCACACCAAGAGUCUUAGAAAGGCUAAAAUUACAGAGCCUAUCCUCACAAGUAAUCAAAAACUCAUAUACGUACUCUCCCGGAGCCCUAAAGGGCGGAGCCAAUCUUAAGAAUAUACCCAAUAUAUUCUGCUCCUUAGAAGACAUAGCAGGUUAGGUAAUGACUAGCUAAGAAACUACCAACUAAGAAACUACCGAUGCACGAGGAACCUCAACUUUGGGAGCCACAAUAACUGGCUACACCCCUACCUCAGUACUACUCUAAUAUAUAAACUAUGUACCAUUAGAUGACACACAACCAACUAUCCCCAAAAUAUGAACCAACUUAUCUCUGAGCACUAAAGAAGAAAUAAACCCUUGUGGAGCCUGGGCUGGUCCCUGGCCCACCGUUGGCUAUGGCAGAAGAAUAUAUGGAUCAUGAGCAGAAAUAGAGUCUGAGGAAGGUGACCAAUCCUGGACCCUAGCUGGGGACACAUCACGUGGGUAUCCAUAACCUUUAGGUCAUCUAUGUCCUAUAGUAGUAUCCCUAGGUCCGAUCUCGAGACCCUCAUCUCGUGUAGCGGUAGCAUGUGUCCUGGCCAUCUGGAAAAGAGUGAGGUCAAAGGAAUAUUCUACACCCAAUGCAAACUUUUAACAUGAAAUGAAUGAAAGAAGUGACAAAAUCCUAAGAGUGACCUAUACCCUCCUGAAUAUAGGAAACAAAUGUCAACAUUCUGAUCCACAUAACUCAACUAAAGACUUGCUCUUGUACCGAUAAUGUCGGUGAAACCUAGGCUUUGAUACUAAUUUGUCGCAACCCAAUUUAUGAGCCAUGAUGACACCUACUAUACCCCACCAGUAGGUAAGCCAAAUUGUAACCCGAAGUUAUACACAAUAGGUUAACUUUGUGGAAAUAUCCAUCAUAGGAGGAAAUUUACAACAUAAUCAAAAAGUAAUAAGGCAUUCCAAAUAGAUAUAAGAUAGACAAUACAAGGUACUAUCCCAAAACUUGGUAGAUCCAGUACAAGAGAAUCUAAGUAAUAAUAGUAAUAAUACAACUCAAAAUAUCUAAAAGGACUGCUACACCUAUAUAGAUACAAAAGAUUGAAUGAAAAGAUAGAGGGAAAUAGGUGACUCCAACUCCAAGAGCUCACCCUAUCUCCAGAAAUUCAAAACAGCUCAAACAAUGGUCAACAAUGACAACUAGUACUCAAAUCUGUAUUAAAAAGGUACAAAAGUAUAGUAUGAGCACCAAAAUAAUAGGUUCUCAGUAGGCAUCACAUCCUAUUGAUUAGUAUUACAUAGAAAAAAUCAAUUAUAGACACUAAUACUAUCGAUCGACUGAGCUAAGUCAUGAUAUAGAGAUGAUAAAAUGCAGGAUAACAUAACUAAGUUAAAGUACAAAAUCGAACCUGAAUUUUCUCCAUCAUCACUGUGCAUAAAGAGUACAUAAAUCGUAAUAAUAGCGAUAAUAGAUCAUAAAGAGUCAAGUGCAUGCAAUCAUAAGUACAAAAUUAGCUCUUAUACACCAAUUGGUGUAGAAAAGUAAAGAACUCGUCAAAGCCUCCCAUAUGAAUAGAGAGUACACUUAAGAUAGUAAUAUAUCAACAUGUAUCAUUUACAACUACUCAUCUUCAUCAUUUAACCAUCUUUUCCAUAAUUUACCAUCAUUUGACACUAUAUCACCACUUAACAACUUAUCGCAUUUCAACACUUAACAAUAAUUCCCCAAAGUUUCACCAUUUAAAAAUUAGUCAUAUAUUAUAAUCAAUAUGAUCAAUUUACUAGUCAUCACUUAUCAUUUAAGCAUUCUUUUUCAACUAGUCAAUAUUUUAUACUAUGCAUCUUUCGUUAACUAAUCAUCACAAUCCAAGUCAUUUUAUGUCAUAGAAUACAUAUCUGUAUAUCCAGACUUGAACUGGUAUUUAGUCAAUCGCCGAAAUCAAACUAGUAAUUAUAUCACAAGUGUCAUAAUCAUCCUUUGGACUUGAGCUGGGUAUAUAUAAUAAAUAUCAUUAUCAUUACCUAGACUCAAACCAGGUAAAUAUAAUCCAUAUUAUCCUCCUCCUCUGAACUUGAACCAGGUAUAUAUAAUUAAUGUCCUAAUCAUAUUCCAGACUCAAAUGGGGAAUAUAUAGUUAAUAACAUAUAAUCAAUCUCAUAAUCAUUUUCCAGAUUCAAACUAUGAAUAUAUAUAUAUAUAUAUAUAUAUAUAAUCAAAAACAAAAUCAUCUUUAGAACUAAAAUUGAGAAUAUAUAACCAUCAUUAACAUAUACACACAAGAAAGACAUAACAUGAUCCAAAGCAUGAUAAUUAAUUGAAACACCCUAUACUUUGGCCCUUGCAAAUUAUUUUAAGUUUUGGACAUUUUUGACAAGGUACGAUUUAUGGGUACUAGUUGUAUGCUAAGAUACGGUUUAGUAAUCCCUCUUUCGUAUGUUAGAAAGCCCUAGGUACGAUUAGGUAUCAUACCAAUUGUAUGAUAGUGUAUGAGUGGUAUGUUUCCAAGUCGUAUGAUGUCUUAUUUAUGGUCUUGAUGAUUCUGACCAAGGUACGACUCUAAGAGUAUAAAAUGUAUGCUAUGAUAAAACUUGGCCUUGUAUGGUUGUAUACUGAUUAGUAUGGGGGUCCAAGGAGAGGUUUAGGGUAUGAGUAAGGGUACCACUCAUACCCUAGGGUACGAUUUAGGAGAGGUGAGUCGUACCCUCCUACGUGUGUUUUCAGCUUUUAAGCUGAGGAAAUUCCAGUCAUUUCCCACCCCAAAACCCUUAAGUCCCCAUGUUAUAUAACCUUAGGUGGCCUCUCAUAACUCACUUUGGAAAUAUAAAACACUUUCAAAUCCUCUCUAAACUCUCUCUUGGAGAUUGGAGCCUAGGGUUUCUACAAGUGUCCAUCUAGAGGCUCAAGAGUCAAGUUUCUCUUCUUUAAUCUUCGGAAAUAAGGCAUGUUACUCCUUCUUCAUUGUUAGUUCCAGCUAAAGGCAUAUUUUAUGAAUUAUUUUCAUGACAUGAAUGUUGUAUGGUUUUGGGUUUGCAAAUAUAUAUUGGAUUUUUUGGUUAUAAAUGCUUGGUUAUGGGUUUUCCAUAUUUUAAUUACUAAUUUACAUAAUUUAAUGGCGGUUUGGAUAUUUGGUUGCGUGAGAAUGGUUAAUUGGAACUUGGUUUUGGCUUUGGAAACACUAAACCCCAAUGUGUUUGAUAAAAUGACUAUGAGAAUGCUCUUACUAAAUUGUUGGACUUUCAUUGAUGUAUUGCAUCGUUAACUUGGUCAUGGAACCCUAAAUGGUCUAAGUGGUUGGAUUGGUCAAAUCGUAAGGUCCUAGUGGUUAUGGUUGUUUUAAUUAAAAGCCUUGUGGGUUACAAAAGAAUCCCCCUAGCAAGCUAAGUAAUGAACAUACUUGUGGGGUACAUGGGAAUCCCCUAAGCUAACUUUAUAAUGUAAUUUAUAGGGAUAUGGGAAUCCCUUCUUCUCUAAAAGGUUGGCUAAGGACAUUGCUUGCAAGCUAUAGUUGGAUGAUGAUACCACUACUUUUAGCCUUGGUUAAUAAUUAAUGGAAUUGUGGUCUUGGUUAUAUGGUAAUGGUUUUAAUUGGACAAUAAAGGCGGGGUGUGAUAGCUAACCAUGUAGGUGUGAGUCCAUUGGAAGGACACUGGAAACUCAUAUUUGCCGACAUGAGGAUUGAUCAUGAUGACCAUAUGAGGUACAAGGAAAUUCCCAAGUUAGGAUUAUCUGUAUGUAUCAUAGAGAGCGAAGGGUACUUGGGAAUCCUCAUAUCCUAUGGUAUUUUUGGUUUGUGCGGCUACACUCACUAGGGCCCGUUUAGGGGGUUACAAUGGACUCAUAUAGCCCAUGGGUGGUUCUAGGAUGGUUAAGAUACAUAUACCUAAGUUAAUGGUUUUAAAUGUGUGCUAAGCCCAGUUUCUUUUCCCGGCAUGGAUUUAUAUAUAUAUAUAUAUAUAUAUAUAUAUAUAUAUAUAUGAUAUAUAUAUAUAUAUAUAUAUGGUUGUGAAUGUAUAUGGUUGUUUACUUGGUUUUAAAGUUGGAAUUAUUUUAUCCUUAUCCUGAGUGUAUGCUAGCAUUCACCCACUAACCCAUCUUUGCGCGUUGUAUCCCCACGUGAUACAGGAACCAACCAUACUACUCCUCCUGCUCAUUAAUCGAAUUUGAGGACCGUUGGUAUUGGAUUAAAGUGGUGAGCUUCCAUAGUUUAGAAGACAUCUAUUUCAUGUCAUAGAUUACUUUACAUUUUUUUUUUCAUAGACUUUGGUUUUUGGCUAUGGUUAGGGGCAUGUCCCGACUAGAUACUCUUUGGUUUAGAGGAUUUGUAUGUACAAAAGUGGACUUGGGUAUGGAAUAAUUAUGAUAUAUAUAUAUAUAUAUAUAUAUUUAUGCAUAUUGGGUUAUGGUAUUGGUUUGGUUGGUUAGUUUUUAGAUGGAUUGACUUGGUCGGGUCGGUCUAGAAAGUAGACCUAGCUCAAAGUCCUUAUAUCUCCAAAUAUAUUAUCUUGUUAUAGGUUCGGAAUUCAUCUAACUCAGUUCAUAUGUUGGUUGGUUGGAUUGGGUAUUGGGGGUGGUCUCCGAUCCCAGUUAGACUUGAGAUGCCCAUUAUGACAAGGCCCUGGUUUGAGUCGUGUCAAAUUGGUUUCAGAGCCUAGGUUUUGAUGUCAUAGGGUGUCUACAAUGCCGUGUUGAGUAGAGUUUUUCUUAUGGGUGUGUUGUGCACUAGACUUAUAAUUAGGAGGCUAUGAGGCAUUUAAAAAUGUUCCACUUUCUUGUUGUUCUACUUUCGGGCUAUGGAGUCUAUUACCUUGAACCCUCCCCUAAAUCUUCUUUUGGUUCACCAUUCAAUCAUGUCCUCUCAAUGAUCUAAAGUUCGUGGAAACUCACCUGUCCCACUUGAGGAUGAUAUGGAUGGAUCUUGUCCAAAUCAUGAGGCACAGACCUGGUCAAGGGUCGUAGUUUUAAAUUUUUCUCGUAGAGUUCCACCGGUCUCCACUGACCCUACUUUGGAAGGAGGCACUCAUGUUCAGUUAACUCAAGAAGAGGUUACCAAUGCUGAGUUUCAACAUUCUAUUAAUCUAUUAACUUAGAUAGUGACAACUCUAUCACACCAGUCUGGUUAUAUUAGUAUGGACAAAAAUAAGGCAAGGUCCAAAAUCAGGAAGUAAGAGGUCUUAAUUUUCUAAACAAAAGAGAGGACAACAGUAUGGUGGUAAGUGGUCCAAGAGGAAAAGUUGAGUGGGUCCUAACUCUUAUUCUAUGGCUAGUGCUUCCUACUCGAAGUCAUUGGGAGAUAGACAUUUUUAGAAUGGUAAUGCUUCUAAGGCAUAAGGUGUCCAAUCUUAAGCCAGUAGGCCCCAAUACGCACCAUCCUAUCCUCCUUAUAGAUUUUAUGGUCGGUCACACCAUGGUUGUUGCAAAAAAGGGAGAAAAUAGUGUUUUAGUUGUGGUCAGUUGGGUCACAUGCAAUGAGAGUGUCCCAUAAGGAUUGCCUCUUGGUCAAAUAGGAUACCGAUUGCUACUUCUCAAGCUUUUGCACCAAGAGGUGCUGCUUCUAGCUCCGACAUUGGUCGGGAUCAUCUCAAUGCCUUCACUAUCCUUCAGAAGUUUAAGGCAUUUUUUGAUGUUGAUACUGGUAUGUUGUAACUUUUUUCUCAUGAUGUGUAUGGUUUACUUGGUCCGGGGUACCUUCUCUCUUAUGUGACCCCAUUUGUGGUGAUGUAUUUUGGUUUAGGACCCAAGGUUAUUUUGGACUCUUUUUCUAUUUCUACCUCAAUAGGUGACUCUGUGAUUGCCAAAAGGGUCUAUAGGGGGUGUAUGAUAUCUGUUAGUGGUAAGGAGACUAUGGUAAUUUGUUUGAAUCAGAUGUGGUGGAUUUCAAUAUCCUUCGGGGUAUGGACUGGUUACACUCAUGCUAUGUAUCAUUGGACUGUUAGAACCAUAAGUUUGUCUUUAAACUCCCUAGUAAUUUGGUUGUUGGGUGGAAGGAUGGUUUCCUAGCUCUUAAAGGGAAUGUUAUAUCAUAUAUUAGAGCUCAGAGAUUAAUCUUCAAAGGGGUGUCUCUAUUAGUAUUUGGUCUGGGUUAAAGAUUCUAACUUGGAGGUCCUUCUCUGCGUUCAGUUUUGGUGAUGAAUAAAUUUCCUGAGGUCUUUCUGAUGACCUUCAUGGUGUCCUUCUAAUAGGGAUAUUGAUUUUGGGAUUGGUAUUAUUUUGGACACUCUUCCAAUUUCUAUUCCUUCUUUAUAGAAUGGCUCCAAAGAGAGUAAAAAAGCAUAAGUAGCAAUUAAAGGACUUCUUAGGUAAAGGUUUCAUCUGUCCUAGUAUUUCUCCGUAGGGUGUCUUCCAUGCUUUCUGCAUAAAGGAGGGGAUAGUUUCCCCUGGGAAUGAAUAGGUUGUUGGUAGAUGAAUAGAAAUUUUAGGGUGUUCUCCUUAUGGGGUAAACCAUGUAUGUAUAUUCUAUAUUUAGGUAGUGCAUGGUGGUUGGUAGACACUAAGUGUGAAUCCUAGAUGUUGCUGUUGAUAAAGAGAGUAGGUUAGCUCGGGGAUAGUCAUGCAAAAAUUAUGGAGGUAGAUUAGUAGGUUGGUUGAGAUAUGUAGAAGGGGUGAGGUUGAUAACUUGGGGGCUAAGUCAUUGGAUAGGUUAGAGCAUGAAGUUUGUAUGACUAUGCAAGACUAUAGGUAGAAUUUGGGUAGAUGAGGUUUAAAGUUUAGGUGAACCAAGCGUCCCUAGUGAUCAUCCUUGGUAAUACCCUUUAGAGCGGAGUAUUGUGCUUACAGGUUUAAUAAGAUGAAGGUCGAGCAUUAAUCUUAAAUUUUCUUUUAGUGGUGGAACUCAAGGGAAGGUCGGGAUGUAUUUACUCCUAUUCUAGUGAUUCUCUCCUAUCUCGGUUAAGAGAGCAUUCUCAUAGUGUUGCACACAUUCUGGUAGGGCUUAUGCCUAAGGUUCGCAUUCUGCAUUAGCCCUGCUCCCUAGAUAUGAAUCUUGGCCUUACAUUAUAUUUGCAUUACCUGUGGUAUGUGCAGUUGUGUUUCUUUUGGUGUCCAGUCUUAAGGACUCCUACUAUGGUAUGGUUUUGUCGGGAUGAUUAUUCAUUUAUGACCUAGGUGGUUGCUAUGAAGUACUUCGUGCCUAUUGUAUUGUGUGUUAUUUUAGAGUUCUCUCCUUGAGUAGCAUGAGUGGUUCUUGUACUUUAGUUCCUUAAUGACCCUUCUUAUGUUAAGGUGGUGGUGGCUUUGGAAGUGUAGUGAUAUUUUAAAAUAGGGGAAAGUAGAAGUCCCUAGGUGGGGAGAUUUUGGGGUGACUACUAGAGCUAAGGUUUUGGAGGGUGAGGUAAGGUUGUUCCCAUGAUAAAUGGUUAGAAGGGGAGUAGAUGGUGAAAAAUCUUUGUGAAAAUAAUAAAGGUUACUAAAUAUUUGGAAGGAUAGGCAGUAUCGCUAGAAUAGAAUAGGAAGGCUUAAAUAUUGUGGUUGAUAGAUAUACCAAUCGUUAUAUUGGGUACUAAAAUCUUGGUGGAAGCAGAAUAGUGUUUUGAGUGGAUCUAAGGAAUAGUGUCCUGUGGCCUAAGUUAACUUUUUUUAGCUCUGGAUAGGCUUGAAUAUGAGAGUGGUGUAUAGCUAGACUCUGGCUCUCUUGGUAAUGAGUCUCCGGGGAAUUGUAAGUUGUAUUAGACUUGCCUUCUAGCAUGAGUUCUAUUUAUUCGGUAUUCCAUGUGUUUGUAUUGAGGUAAGGUGUAAGUAAUCCUCCAUUGGUUGUUUUAUUUGGGUGGUAUUGGCAUCUCGGAAUCUUUCUCCUAUAAGGAGUUCUUGGUGAGGAUCAUGGGUUGGCAAGUUCGCCGGUUGCGAACGAGAAGGUAUGGCUUCGGUGAAGGUUCUAUGAUGGAACCAAAAGUUUGAAGAAGCCAUUUGGGAUGCGGAAGAGGACAUGGAGUUCAAGUAUCUAUGUUGGUUCUCCAUUUUGAAAAUUUGUGCAUAAGGUAUGUGUUCUUCAUCACAUCUUUAUUUUCUAAUUCGGUUAAAGAAAGGGUUGGAUUUCCUUUAAUCAUUGUUUUUAACUUAGUUAUAGGUCGGGAUGGAAGUAUUCAGGAGUAAAUCGUGCUUAGGAUAUGUGAUGAUCUUUUCAUCUUGUUUUAUGUCUUUGUUUUCUAAUUAGGUCGAAGGGAAGCUUGAUGGGUAUUAAUGUAUUAACUUGUACUUGUGCUUUUUUUUACCCGUCAUUCGAGGAUGAAUGAUCCUACGUGGGGGAGAAUAAAAUACCCUAAACUUUGGCCCUUGUAAAAUUUCUUGAGUUUUGGGCAUUCCGGGUAAGGUAGGAUUCAUGGGUACUAGUUGUAUGCUAAGAUAUGGUUUAGUACUCCCUCUCUCAUAUGUUAGACAGUAUGUAUGGGUUGGUUUCUACCCUAGGUAUGACUAGGCAUCAUACAAAUUGUAUGAUAGUGUACGAGUGGUAUGUUUCCAAGUUGUAUGAUGUCUUAAGUAUGGUCUUGAUGAUUCUGACCAAAGUACAACUCCAAGGGUACCACUCGUAUGCUAUGAUAUGACUUGGCCAUGUAUGGUCGUAAGAUGAUUAGUAUGGGGGUCCAAGGAGUGGUUUAGGGUAUUAGUAAGGGUAUCACUCGUACCCUAAGGUACGGUUUAGAAGGGGUGAGUCGUACCCUCCUCUGUGUGUUUUUUAACUUUUAAGAUGAGGGCAUUCCAGACAUUUCCCACCCCAAAAACCUUAAUUCCCUACGUUAUAUAACCCUAGGUGGCCUCUCAUAACUCACUUUGGAAAGAUAAAACACUAUUAAAUCCUCUCUAAACUCUCUAUUAAAGAUUGGAGGCUAGGGUUUCUACAAGUGUCCAUCUAGAGGCUCAUGAGUUAAGUUUCUCUUCAUGAAUCUUCAUAAAUAAGGCAUGUUACUCCUCCUUCACUGGUAUUUACAACUAAAAGCAUGUUUUAUAAAUUAUUUUCAUGGAAUGAAUGUUGUAUAGUUUUGAGUUUGUGAAUAUAUAUUGGGGGUUUUGGUUAUAAAUGCUUGGUUAUGGUUUUUUCCAUAUUUAAUUAUGAAUUUACAUGUUUAAAUGGUAGUUUGGAUAUUUGGUUGCAUGGGACUGGUUAAUUGGAACUUAGUUUUGGCUUUGGAAACACUAUGCCUCCAAUGUGUUUGAAAAAAUGCCUAUGAGAAUGCUCUUACUAAAUUGUUGGACUUUCAUUGAACGAUUGCAUGGUAUAACUUGGUAAUAGAACCCUAAAUGGUCUAAAUGGUUUGGAAUGGUCAAAUCAUAAGGUCUUAGUGGUUAUGGUUGGUUUAAUUGAAAGCCUUGUAGGGUACAAGGGAAUCCCCCAAGCAAGCUAAGUACUGAACAUACUUGUGGGGUACAUGGGAAUCCCCAAAGCUAACUUAAUAAUAUAAUCUAUGGCUACAUGGGAAUCCCAUCUUCUCUAAAAGGUUGUCUUAGGACAUUGCUUGCAAGUUAUAGUCGGUAUGACGAUACCACUACUUAUAGCCUUAGUUAAUAAUAAAUGGAAUAGUUGUCUUGGUUAUGUGGUAAUGGUUUUAAUUGGGCAAUAAUGACGGGGUGUGAUAGCUAACCGUGAAGGUAUGAGUCCAAUGGACGGAUAUUGGAAACUCAUAUUUGUCGAUAUGAGGAUUGGUCAUGAUCACAUAUAGGGUACAUGGGAAUCCCCUAAGUUAUAAUUAUAUAUAUGUACGAUAGAGAGCGAAAGGUACUUGGGAAUCCCUUACUCCUAUGGUAUCUUCGGUUCGUGUGGCUACACAUAUCAGGGCCCGUUCAGGGGGUUACACUGGACCCAUAUAGCUCGUAGUUGUUUCUAGAAUGGUUAAGCUACACUUACCUAGGUUAAUGAUUUUAAAUACAUGGUAAGACCAGUUUUAUUUUCUGGCAUGGAUUUAUAUAUAUAUAUAUAUAGAUAGAUAGAUAGAGAGAGAGAGAGACCAUACUACUCUUCUUGCUCAUCGAUCGAAUUUGGGGACUGCCGAUGCUAGAUUGAAGUGGUAAGCUUCCAUGGUUCGAAAGGCAUCUAUUCAUGUCACAGAUUACUUUACUUACUUUGUCUUUUCAUAGACUUUGGUUUUUAGCUAUGAUCCGGGGCAUAUCCCGACUAGAUGCUCUUUGGUUUGGUUUGGUUUAGAGGCUUUGUAUAGAUAAUAGUGGACUUGGGUAUGGAAUGAUUAUGAUAUAUAUAUACAUAUUGUGUUAUGGUAUUGGUUUGGUUGGUUAGUUAUUGGAUGGAUCGACUUGGUCGGGUCGAUCUAGGAAGUAGACCUAUCCCAAAGUCCUUAUAUCUCUAAAUAUAUUAUCUUGUUAUAGGUUUGGAAUUCAUCUGAUUCAGGGCAUAUGUUGGUUGGUUGGAUUGGGUAUUGAGGGUGAUCUCUGGUCCCAGUUGGACUUGAGAUGCCCAUUAUGACAAGGCCCCAGAUCAGAUCGUGUCAUUAACAUGGAAAAAAGGCAAUAGUCUAUACCCCGACCUAUCAUAGCCAUCAAGUGCCACUAUUCAUCAAUACUACCUUAAAAGGCAUCCUAAAGCACAUAACGAGCCUAUGAAAGUUCCCCAAUAGCUAAUCCAAUCUUUACUUAUGGUGAGUUGAAGUACCCACUUCUAAUCCCCAAUUCUCGUUUCAAGGCAAUUUCUAUCCCAAGACUAGGUUAAGGUAUAUAAAUUCACUUUUAGAUGUAUAACAAGACACAACUAGCCCUAAGGUAGAGGUUAUUCCCAAUUAUAAUCGCUAAGUUAAAGUGGAAACUAAGGCAACCUCAUCUAAUGUGAGGACUAAGGCCAAAAUCUCCUCAAACACGAGCAACUAUGUCAAAUAUGCCUACUUUGAGUAAUCUAAGGUCUCAUGCUAAAUAUGAGGACUGAAGACUAAUUUAACUAAGGCACAAGGCAACAAGCUAAGUGUUUCAAUAUUAUGGGAUCACAAUAGCCAAGGAGGAUCAAUUAACCCCAAGUUUUGUAUUUCAACAACCAACACCUAAAACCCAUCCCGAAUCUAACACAAUAUCAUAAACAUACUGUGAAUUAGCUCAAUAUAUUAAGGGUUAAACCUAGCCUACCUCGACACCCAAGAAAGCUUAGCGAUUCUGCUCUUCCUUUUCGAGAAGCCUCUUUAAGAUGCCAAGCUAUCAAAAAUACAUUCUAUUUAUCAAUAUGAGAAUAACAAUACCCAUAUUGCACCAUUGUGCUUCGGGUCCAAAAAUUACAUCAAAAUCCUAUGUGGGUCCUACUUACUAAAAUCACAUUUUUGAGACCAGCACAACAUUCAUACAUGCUCAAGGAAUCAUAACCCUUAAAAAUGGAUGAAACCCAAGCUAAAAUGGGGCUAAAAUCAAGCCUUAAAACUUUUGGGGUUUUGGUCAAGAAAUCAUUAAAAAUCUACCAAGAAAGGGUGAAAUCUUACCUCAAGUAGAAAGAUAAUCGCGAAAAUUGAUAUUACUCAAGCUUCUACGUCAUCCCAAGACUCAAUUUUAAGAUACCACACCCUUUAGGAUUUUUUCUCUAAAGAGAUGGGUAAAAAAUGAGCAAAUUUGCGACAUUGGGGUCUAUUUAUACCUCAAAUAUUGCAAUUGCAACAUGCAGGUAUGCAAUCACACUAUAUGGCAUCAGGAGCAGAUGUUGCAAUCGCAAUAACCCUUAGUGCGUUCACACUAUAUCCUCUGCACACUGAGAUGCGAUCACCAUCCAAGGUGGUGCGAUUGCGGCAGCAUCAGCUUGCUGAUGCACUAGAUUUUGCAAGUCCAAAAAUGAUCUUGACCGGGGGCUCGAAAUUUAUUUGAAAUCCCAUACAUGUAAAUGAACUAUGUAACCACACUAAAUUCAACGCUCCGGAUGUGAUGGAAAAGUCAAAUUUUUUAUCUGAGGUUAUUUCGAUUAAAUAUGGGUGUCACACCUAUAUUUCUCAUUUCUCCAACUUUCGACCAAUAGGUCAAAAUAAACUCGGGUGCCUCAAGACCCGAACCAAAGGUCCACCUAGAUCAAAAUUGACAUUCUGUAGUUGUUGCCGCAGUUGAAAUUCGCAUACGAGAUUGUUUUACUGAAGUUCUCACCCGAUGGUCAUUUGGUACCUACGAAGACUUCUAAACAGAAAAUUGGCUCUAAAACCUAACGAACUAUCUAGUAAUCGAACUGUCGGCUGCAGCAAGUCACAAAUGACUUGGGAAAGCUAUGUAAAGGCUCUAACGACAAAAAUAAGUGGGGAUAUGAAAAAUGACCUGAAGGGUCAUUGCACACAAGUUGACACUAAUACAUUGUGUCUUGAUUUACAAGGAGCUUUAUAAGUUUUGCCUCUAAAAUAAGACUUAGCCCAAGAGCCUCCAAAAAAAUAAGUUACUCCCCAUGGGUAAGAGUUAACACUACUUCAUUAUGUCUUAAUUUAUGAUAUAUACUAUAAUUCUUGACUUAGAGGCAAGACUUAGCUUAAGAAUUUCUAACAAAAAGUUAUGCCCCGCGAGCAUGACUUGACACUACUAUAUUGUGCCUUGAUUUAUUGUAUGUUCUUUAACUAUUGUCUCAGAGGCAAGAUUUAUCCUAGGACUUUCAAACAAUAAGUCAUGCCCUUAGGUUUAUUUCAUUGUUAAAGAAAGAAAAUCUUCUUUGUUGAUUAUCCAACUUUCUUUUCAUCAGCAAAACAUAAUAGAACUUGAGAAAAAAUAAAAACGAAGAAGGAAAAAAAGAGAGAAAAGAAAAAAUAUAAGGAUUGAGAAAAAAAAAAGAAUAAAAAAAUAAAGGUUAAGAAAAAAAUUGAAAGAGUAAAAAAUAAAAUUUGAGAAAAACAAAAAUGAGAAGAAAAAUAAAAAUAUAGUUUGAGAAAAAUAAAUAAAAAAGAAGAAAAAAUGAGAAAAAAAUAAAGGUUGAGACAAAUGAUAUUUUUAAAAAAAAUGCAGAAAUGAAAAAUAAAAUGUUUGAGAAAAAAAGAAGAAAGAGAAGGAGAAAAUUAAAAAUAAAAAAAAAGGCUUAAACAAAUGAAUUAAACAACCAAAACAAGAAAAAAUAAAAAUCAAGGAACAAUGAAAAAAAGAAAAAAUAGAAGUUGAGAGACAAAUGAACAUACAAAAUAUAAAAAUAUUUGAGAUGUAAAGGACCAAAAAGAUAAUUAUUCUACACAUAAAAAGGAAGAAAGGCUAGUAUUUAAAAACCUUUCUUCUGUAGGACAAAAGGCAAAUGCACACUUUUAAGGCAAAUGCACACUUUUUUACAAUUAAUACACCCUUAAAAGUUUUACCAAAAUUGUAAAUUUGUAAGUAUUUUGUAAAAAAAAGGAGGGACGAUAAAUACGGAGCGAGGAAGUUUGAAAUUUUAUUUUGAGAAGAUAUUUUGAAAUUAAGGAAAAUAUGGGAUAGUGAAAAAAUUUAAUAAAAGUAAUUAACUUAUGGCUUGUGGUUGAUUUUGAUUUAUAAACACUUUAGUUAAUUAUCAAAAAAAACUACUUACAAAUUAAAUUUGAUCAACUCAUAAACUUAGCCAAAUAUCUUCUUAUACGUCAAUUAUGAUAUAGACCUCUUGGUUUCUCAUUUAAACUUGGCCAGAUCCAUAAUUGGCCCCUUAAAGAGAGUUGGUAUCGCCUUUUCAUUUUUAUGAUCCAAAGUAUAGACCACUUCGUUUCUCAUUGAUAUCAUUUUAGGCUUCUGCUGAUUAGACAUUCUGAUGAGUCAAUGUAGGAAAAACUACAUUGUUAAGCAAACAUUCCUAAUAUAACAAUUCAACCAGACGACAUUUAAGGAAAAAUUGACAAGUAGCAAAUUUAAGUUUAUAAUACAUAUUUGAUAGUAAUUUUUUUUAGGGAAUCUUUCAAAAAUAGCUAUAUUUUACUGAAAAAUUCACCUUUCAUAGCCAUAUUUUACAUAAUUACCAUUUAUAACCGUUGUAUUUAAUUUACGCUCGCUGUAUUCGAUUUUAUCAAUAGUCUGUAUUCAUAUAAAAUAUAAAUACAGUACUAUUUAGCUGUUGUAUUCGAUUGACAGCCGUUGUAUUCACUUUUACUCAGUGGACUGUAUUCAUAAAUACACUACAUAUUUAGUCUUGCCUAAAACACUACCAUUUUUUUCUUUUUUAUUUUUUUAAUAUUUUUUCUUAUUCGUAUUUUCCUCGUUUUUUCUUCUUCUUUUAUCUAAUUUUUCCUAUUUUAUUUUUUCUUUUUUUUUAUAUAUUUUUUCUCUCUUCUAUCCCUCUUUUUUUUUCUUUUUCUUUUCUUUUUUGUACUUAUUUUCUUUAUUAUUUUUUUGUUCUAUUUUAUAUUUUUUGUAUUUUUAAAAAAUAUAACUACUCGAGCACAAAUCAUUGAUAAUAACGUAAAUACCAUAAUUGUUUAUCUAUUUGUAGUCACGCGUCAUUUAUAUUUUUGUAUUCAUUGAUGCAACUGUAUUUGUAUUUGUAUUUUAAAGUUUGUGGUUGUAUUUGUAUUUUGUAUUGUGUAUUUCGCAUUUAUAUUUGUAUUUUAUAAUUCGCACUUGUAUUUGUAUUUGUUAGUUCGCACUCUAUUUGUAGUCACGCGUCAUUUAUAUUUUUGUAUUCAUUGAUGCAACUGUAUUUGUAUUUGUAUUUUAAAGUUUGUGGUUGUAUUUGUAUUUUGUAUUUCGCGUUUAUAUUUGUAUUUUAUAGUUCGCACUUGUAUUUGUAUUUGUUAGUUCGCACUAUCAUUUUUAUUUUAUAUAAUCCACACUUGUAUUUUAAAGAAUUAUUUUAUAUUUGUAUUUUAUAAUUGACUGUAUAUUAUAUUGGAUUAUAUUUGUAUUAUGAUUUUAUUGUGUUUGUAUAUUUAGAUUAUAUUUGUAUUCUAUUUUCGUCGAUGUCUUUUUAUCUUUAAAGAAUUAUUUUAUAUUUGUAUUUGUAAGUUGAUUGUAUAUUGUAUUUAGCCGUGAUUAUGUACAAUUUAUCAUUUGUAUUUGUAUACAAAUGAGUAAAUGCAUUGUAUUUUCUUGAUUCUAAAAUAUAUAAAUAUGCAAUGUAUCAUUUGAUACAAAUGUAACAUUUUGUAUUUGUAUGUCAAAAUUAUUAUUCGUAUUUGUUAAUAAAUAAAUAUCACUUGAUACAAAUACAAUUACAAACAAAUGAAAUCAAUGAUUUUAAAAAUACAAAUACAUAUUGUAUUUAUAUAUAUUGUAUUUUUAUAAAAAAAUUGAAUUGCAUUUAUUUGUAUCAAUAAAUACAACUCGUAUAAAUAAAUACAAACAAGUAUUCGUAAAAAGAAAAUCAAUCUUUCCUUUUCAAUAAUUAAAAAAUACAAAUGAUAGAUUACACUUGUAUCUAUAUGUUAUAGUUCGCAUUUGUAUUUGUAUAUUAUAGUUUCCAUUUGUAUUAGUAUGUUAUAAUUCGUCUUUGUAUUUAUAUUUUAUAGUUCACACUUGUAUUUGUGUUUGCUAGUUCGCACAAAUGAAAAGAAGGAGAAAAAUAAAAACAAAAAAAGGAGAAAAAAUGUGAGAAAAAGAAGAAAAGAUACAAAAAAAGGAGAGUAAUAGAAAAUAGAGAAAAAAUAAAAAAUAAAAAGUAAAAAAAUAAAAAGGAAAAGAAAAAAAAGAAAAAAAAGAAGACAAAAUGAAAAAAGACAACGAAAAAGAAAAAAUUGAAAAAAGAAAGAAGAAAGAGAAAACAAAAAAGAAAAAAUGAAGGAAAAAGAAAAAAAAGUAAUAGAAAAUAGAUAAAAAAGGAGAAAAAAUAAAAAAAAAAAAUAACAAAAGAAAAAAAAGAAAAUGAAAAAGAAAAAAUUGAAACAUAGUUCACAGGUGUAUUUGUGUUUGUUAGUUUGCACAAAUGAAAAGAAGGAGAAAAAUAAAAAGAAAAAAUGUGAGAAAAGGGAGAAAAAAUACAAAAAGAGAAGGAGAGUAAUAGAAAAUAGAGAAAAAAUAAAAAAAGGAAAAAAAUAAAAGGAAAAGAAGAAAAGGAAAAAAAGAUAACAAAAAAGAAAAAAUUGAAAAAAGAAAAAAGAAAAGAGAAAGAGAAAACAAAAAAAGGAAAA